Molecule: long non-coding RNA, 1210 nt
Organism: Aegilops tauschii subsp. strangulata
Lineage: Eukaryota; Viridiplantae; Streptophyta; Magnoliopsida; Poales; Poaceae
Source: RefSeq, a predicted model, not a curated record
UCCAAACCCUACUUCCCCAAAUCACAGACCCACCGCCGCCGCCACCCCCGCCCCCCACUCCACCGCCGUCCCUUCCUAACACUACUUCUGGCCGGCCCGUUCUCCCCUUCCCUGUGCGCCGCCGCCCUACCUCUCUUCCUCCGCUCAGCUGCCAUUUCCAUGGAAGCGGCCCGACCUGGUCAUUGCCGGAUCUGGCGGUCUGGCCGCACUGGUGGUCGAUGCUGCCGGAUCUGGCCGCUCCGGGCCUCAUCAACGCCGCCCCGGUUGUUCACCUCCCCAUCACCGCUUUUCCCAUCGUCAUCCCGUCCGCCUCGUCCAAAUCAGCUGAGAGGGUAGUCGCCUGUCUCCUGAGGAGUUCGUCCCCGACGGCCUCUCCAAGGACUCCCUCCCCCUCACUCCCAACGCCACUGCCUUCGGAACAUGUCCUCUUCUUCGUGGCAUCCAGUUCAAGAAGGGUCAACCGCGAGCUGCAUCGACAUCGAGUCGAGCGUUCCUCUUCUUCGUCGGGCCUGCACCAUCUCGGGGUGCAGCCGUGCAGCACCUGCUGCUGUGGAGGACGGAUGGCGCGGUGCUGGUAGAGCUGCUCCGGGCCUGCCCAGUCGAGCUCAACCACUAAUUGUUCAACCAAGCGCUGCACCACCACUUCCUCUACACUCGCUACCAGUGAGCACCACAACGCAUCUAUCAUCAUCGAGCUCAUCACCUGUGGCUUGGUCUCUUGACUCUUGUAGAUGCCCAGUGUCUGGCGAGGCCGCAGGGGGCGAGCCGAACGAUCCGGAGCAGCGGGCGAAACCGCGGAAGGCGGACCGUUCAGUUCUGCGUACAUUUUUGAAGAUGGAGGUGGAUUAUAAUGCUUUGGUGAUAAUAACACCAACCUUACAGCAAUAUCAUUUAUGAAUAACUACGACAAGGUUUCCUAAAGGUACACAAGUUCACUAAGGUUUGUAAGAUCUUCAAGCUGCUGGGAAUUUGGAAGACCUACAAUUAAGAUGGAGUGAUAAUGUCAUAUGUCUUGUUUGUUGAACCUAGAGAUUUGCUUUGCUCAUUUUGGUGCUUGUUAAGCUCAUUUUGUUUGUGUGGCACACAUCUAGAAACAUAUGUACAUAUGCUAUUGUGGCACUACAUUAUUUUGGUUGUGGCAAACAUAUAUGUACAGCCUCCUUAUAUAUGGUUGUUUUGUUUAUCGAAUGAAGUUUAAGAUUUCGAUGAA